This 2454-nucleotide ribosomal RNA is filed under the name Drosophila willistoni. Its description in RNAcentral is "eukaryotic LSU rRNA". It matches the Rfam family "Eukaryotic large subunit ribosomal RNA", at positions 789 to 2996 of the family's 3401-position model. The record is from RNAcentral. Lineage: Eukaryota; Metazoa; Arthropoda; Insecta; Diptera; Drosophilidae.
ACGUACCUUGAGCAUAUAUGCUGUGACCCGAAAGAUGGUGAACCAUACUUGAUCAGGUUGAAGUCAGGGGAAACCCUGAUGGAAGACCGAAACAGUUCUGACGUGCAAAUCGAUUGUCAGAAUUUAGAAUAGGGGCGAAAGACCAAUCGAACCAUCUAGUAGCUGGUUCCUUCCGAAGUUUCCCUCAGGAUAGCUGGUGCAUUUAAAUGUUAUAUAAAAUAAUCUAAUCUGGUAAAGCGAAUGAUUAGAGGCCUUAGGGUCGAAACGAUCUUAACCUAUUGUCAAACUUUAAAUGUCUAAGAACCUUAACUUUCUUGAUAUGAAGUUUAAGGUUAUGAUAUAUUGUGCCCAGUGGGCCACUUUUGGUAAGCAGAACUGGCGCUGUGUUAACAACUCAUACAGAAACCAUGAAAGGCGUUGGUUGCUUAAUACAGCAGGACGGUGAUCAUGGAAGUCGAAAUCCGCUAAGGAGUGUGUAACAACUCACCUGCCGAAGCAACUAGCCCUUAAAAUGGAUGGCGCUUAAGUUGUAUACCUAUACAUUACCGCUAAAGUAGAUGAUUUAUAUUAUUUAUAAUAUAAAUUUUGAAACUUUAGUGAGUAGGAAGGUACAAUGGUGUGCUUAGAAGUGUUUAACGUAAGCCUGCAUGGAGCCAUUGGUACAGAUCUUGGUGGUAGUAGCAAAUAAUCGAAUGAGACCUUGGAGGACUGAAGUGGAGAAGGGUUUCGUGUGAACAGUGGUUGAUCACGAGUUAGUCGGUCCUAAGUUCAAGGCGAAAGCCGAAAAUUUUCAAGUUUUAAAAAUGUCAAAUGAAAUAAUGAAUAAUAAAACACUUGAAUAAUUUUGAACGAAAGGGAAUACGGUUCCAAUUCCGUAACCUGUUGAGUAUCCGUUUGUUAUUAAAUAUGGGCCUCGUGCUCAUCCUGGCAACAGGAACGACCAUAAAGAAGCCGUCGAGAGGUAUCGGAAGAGUUUUCUUUUCUGUUUUAUAGCCGUACUACCAUGGAAGUCUUUCGCAGAGAUAUAUGGUAGAUGGGCUAGAAGAGCAUGACAUAUACUGUUGUGUCGAUAUUUUCUCCUCGGACCUUGAAAAUUUAUGGUGAAGAGUCUCUAGUCGAUAGAAUAAUGUAGGUAAGGAAAGUCGGCAAAUUAGAUCCGUAACUUCGGGAUAAGGAUUGGCUCUGAAGAUUGAGAUAGUCGGGCUUGAUUGGGAAACAAUAACAUGGUUUAUGUGCUCGUUCUGGGUAAAUAGAGUUUCUAUCAUUUAUGAUAGUUAUUUGUUCCCCGGAUAGUUAGUUACGUAGCCAAUUGUGAAACUUUCUUGCUAAAAUUUUUAAGAAUACUAAUUUUUAAUUAGUUCUUUUAAAUUAUAACGAUUAUCAAUUAACAAUCAAUUCAGAACUGGUACGGACUUGGGGAAUCCGACUGUCUAAUUAAAACAAAGCAUUGUGAUGGCCCUAGCGGGUGUUGACACAAUGUGAUUUCUGCCCAGUGCUCUGAAUGUCAAAGUGAAGAAAUUCAAGUAAGCGCUGGUCAACGGCGGGAGUAACUAUGACUAAAAAAAAACUAUGAUAAAAAAAAAAAAAAAUAGCCAAAUGCCUCGUCAUCUAAUUAGUGACGCGCAUGAAUGGAUUAAUGAGAUUCCUACUGUCCCUAUCUACUAUCUAGCGAAACCACAGCCAAGGGAACGGGCUUGGAAUAAUUAGCGGGGAAAGAAGACCCUUUUGAGCUUGACUCUAAUCUGGCAGUGUAAGGAGACAUAAGAGGUGUAGAAUAAGUGGGAGAUAUUAUUCUUGUGUUUGAUAUCGCCAAUGAAAUACCACUACUCUUAUUGUUUCCUUACUUACGUGAUUAAAUGGAACGUGUAUCAUUUCCUAGCCAUUAUACGGAUAUAUUUAUUAUAUCUUAUGGUAUUGGGUUUUGAUGCAAGCUUCUUGAUCAAAGUAUCACGAGUUUGUUAUAUAAUCGCAAACAAAUUCUUUAAUGAGAGAGUGCUUUUAUGUAUUUUUAAUUUGAAAUAUUUGGUAUAACUCCAAUUACUCAGGUAUGAUCCAAUUCAAGGACAUUGCCAGGUAGGGAGUUUGACUGGGGCGGUACAUCUCUCAAAUAAUAACGGAGGUGUCCCAAGGCCAGCUCAGUGCGGACAGAAACCACACAUAGAGCAAAAGGGCAAAUGCUGACUUGAUCUCGGUGUUCAGUACACACAGGGACAGCAAAAGCUCGGCCUAUCGAUCCUUUUGGUUUAAAGAGUUUUUAACAAGAGGUGUCAGAAAAGUUACCAUAGGGAUAACUGGCUUGUGGCGGCCAAGCGUUCAUAGCGACGUUGCUUUUUGAUCCUUCGAUGUCGGCUCUUCCUAUCAUUGUGAAGCAAAGUUCACCAAGCGUUGGAUUGUUCACCCAUGCAAGGAACGUGAGCUGGGUUUAGACCGUCGUGAGACAGUUAGUUUACCCUA